AUCCUGUGGGACUCGAGGGACAUUGUUCCAGCUAAUGAUUAAGAACUCUCCAGACAAUAGGGGCUUCUUAGACAAUGGGUGAAUUUCCAGGAUGUCCGGCCCCCUUCCGAGAAGGAGGGAGAUAACAAAAUGUAAAAAAGGUGUCUGUCAAAGACCAAUCAGGCAGCUGGGGAGAAGGAGGGAGAUAACAAAAUGUAAAAAAGGUGUCUGUCAAAGACCAAUCAGGCAGCUGGGGACAAGUUCCCUCUCUGGUCCGAGCCUAAGCCGGGACCAAUCAGCAGGAGAACACAACCAAAUCUAUAAUUUACAUACGGGGAAGUGGGAACCUAUAAAACUGACAUAUUCGCGCCCAAAAGGGGUUCCUUCUUCGACCUCCUGCGUGAGGACCAAGGAACCCCGGUGCACCGGCCUUCAAUAAACCUCUUGCGUUUUGCAUCGA
Molecule: long non-coding RNA, 439 nt
Organism: Orcinus orca (killer whale)
Lineage: Eukaryota; Metazoa; Chordata; Mammalia; Artiodactyla; Delphinidae
Exons: 2
Source: RefSeq, a predicted model, not a curated record